GCAAGACGAUACGGUUCGUAAAUCGAGCUUGCUUUAAAUCAUAUAAGGCAGAAAAUCGUUCAAUCUAUUAGUCUAACGCAUUUUUUUUUUUAUUGUGCUAACGGUUUGACUUGCUUACACAUAUAUAAUGACAAUUUAUGGACUGCUUGUGCAAAUUAUACUCAUCUGCAAUUAGUUUGCUCAAUCUCCAAUUGAAUCUCAAACUGUAAUCGCAUCUCAAACUGUCAACUGCUUCUCAAACUUUAAGAGAAUCUGUAACAAAAACUGAUUCAGAAUGGCGCCGCCAAACGAACAGCCAGAGGAUGACAUUGUUACCAAGAUACCUUCAAUAAUUGGAUUCUUGAACUUGGACUAAUUGGAAAUUUGACUUCAAGCAGAGAACGUGAUGAACGUACACAAUAAAUAACUUAAUUAAGGCUGAAUAGACCACAAGAAUUAUGUAGACGCUUAAAUAUUAGUCAUUAAGGACAAACUUUUUUUUAUCCCAUAAUUUUUCUUUUUAUUUUUGUUUAAAUAAAUGCGAUGAUUUAGUAAAUAAAA
Molecule: long non-coding RNA, 540 nt
Organism: Drosophila innubila
Lineage: Eukaryota; Metazoa; Arthropoda; Insecta; Diptera; Drosophilidae
Exons: 2
Source: RefSeq, a predicted model, not a curated record